ACCUGCCUCUGCCUCCCGAUAAAGGUGUGCAUCACCACGCCCGGCUAUUUCAUUCUUUAUAAUCCUAAGUAUAGAGAGGCAAUAGCCACCAAGUGAUGUUUAAAUCAUGCUGCACUGUGACUGAUGUUUCAGAUUGGAUCUUCUCUCUCUCUCAUAAACAUCUCUGAAUUUUAUUCCUUUUUGAAAGUGUGAGAAUAUUUCUAGAGGGGUUUAAGUAAGGCAGGGUUUGAGUAGGGAAGACCCAGUCUAAAUGUGCUGUUAUCCCAUCAGCUUGGGUCUUGGUCUGAAGAAAAGGAGGGGACACUGCUGUUUUCUCCCAGUUCAGGAUAGUCAACACAGAUGACCAGCUGCCUGUUGCCCCUGUCCCAUGCCUUCCUUGAAUAAUGACCUGCACCCUUGGACUUGAACUAAUUACCCCCUCCCAACUUUUUGUUUGCUUUGAAGAUGGUCUCAUUGUGUGGCCCAGCUGGCUUGCAACUGAGAGAUCUGCCUUCCUUUGCCUCCAGAAUGUUAGUAUUAAAGAUGUGGACUACCAUUGGCCCUUUCCCCUCUUAACUGCUUGUUGACAGGAGACUUGAUUGCAGCAGUGAGGAAACUAACAAAUCCAUCUGAACACUGAUUUUGGCGUGUAGGAAUUAGACUCUUUACUUUCCUUUGUCUUCAGUGCUCUGCUUUCAUUAGCAUAUGGACAAUAGUUACUGGAACUGUGGAGUUUUCAGAAGCUUACAGUAUUCUGUCUCAACUGAAAAUUUGGUAGAGAACCAGGGGUUAUGGUGCACAUCUUUGAUCCCAGUGUUCCUAUAGGCAGAGGCAGGCAGAUCUGAGUUGGAGGCUGUCUUAGGGCUUUACUGCUGUGAACAAAUACUGUGACCAAGGCAACUCUUAAAAGGACAACAUUUAAUUAGGGCUAGCUUACAGGUUCAGAGGUUCAGUCCAUUAUCAUCAAGGUGGGAAACAUGGCAGCAUCCAGGAAGGCAUGGUUCAGGAGGAGCUGAGAGUUCUACAUCUUCAUCUGAAAGCUGCUAGCAGAAUAUUGGCUUCCAGGCAGCUAGGAUGAGGGUAUUAAAACCCACACCCACAGUUGACACACCUAUUCCAGCAGACCACACCUCCAAAUAGUGCCACUCCCUGGGCCAAGAAUAUAUAAACCAUCACAGAGGCCACUCUAAGUCUACCUAGAGUCCCAGGUUAGUCAGGGUUGCAAAGUGAGACCCCAAAAGAACCUCACCCCUACCCACCCACCCCACAAAACCUUGACAAGAGUGGUUUAAUGACAGGGGUGUGAGUAACAUGCAAACAUACUUAAUCCUUUAUAUAAGGUCUGUAGCAGAGGAAGGGAGGAUCUUGAGUGUGAGGCAGUCUGAGUGAGCAAUAUAUUGAGAACGUAUCAAAACUG
Molecule: long non-coding RNA, 1396 nt
Filed under: Mus musculus (house mouse)
Lineage: Eukaryota; Metazoa; Chordata; Mammalia; Rodentia; Muridae
Description: long non-coding RNA chr7:75481998-75483394
Source: RNAcentral